UACAGAGGUCUCAAGCGUUGUUCGGAUUCAUUGGGCGUAAAGGGUGCGUAGGCGGUCGGGUAAGUCUGACGUGAAAUCUUCAAGCUUAACUUGGAAACUGCGUCGGAUACUAUUCGGCUGGAGGAAUGGAGGGGAGACUGGAAUACUUGGUGUAGCAGUGAAAUGCGUAGAUAUCAAGUGGAACACCAGUGGCGAAGGCGAGUCUCUGGACAUUUCCUGACGCUGAGGCACGAAAGCCAGGGGAGCAAACGGG
RNAcentral lists this ribosomal RNA (253 nucleotides) under uncultured bacterium. RNAcentral describes it as "partial 16S ribosomal RNA". It matches the Rfam family "Bacterial small subunit ribosomal RNA", at positions 524 to 776 of the family's 1533-position model. The record is from RNAcentral.